RNAcentral lists this transfer-messenger RNA (121 nucleotides) under Chloroflexota bacterium. RNAcentral describes it as "Chloroflexi bacterium (anaerobic digester metagenome) partial transfer-messenger RNA". It matches the Rfam family "transfer-messenger RNA", at positions 1 to 126 of the family's 374-position model. From Rfam's summary of the family: Bacterial tmRNA, also known as 10Sa RNA or SsrA, is named for its dual tRNA and mRNA-like properties. Lineage: Bacteria; Bacillati; Chloroflexota. The record is from RNAcentral.
GGGGAUGACAGGCUUCGACGGGGAAGGCUGGCCCCUGACUGCAAGCCGAGUAUGCUUCUCAUCUCGUAAAUCUGGAAGCAAAAACAAUAAGUGCCAACACCAAUGUGGCCUACAACGCUCU